GAUGAACGCUAGCUACAGGCUUAACACAUGCAAGUCGAGGGGUCUCAACGGAGCUUGCUUCAGCGAGACGACCGGCGCACGGGUGAGUAACGCGUAUCCAACCUGCCCUUCAUAUUGGGAUAGCCUCUCGAAAGGGAGAUUAAUACCGAAUAACAUGAGAAAGUUGCCUGAUUUUCUCAUGAAAGCUCCGGCGAUGAAGGAUGGGGAUGCGUUCCAUUAGGUAGUAGGCGGGGUAACGGCCCACCUAGCCUACGAUGGAUAGGGGUUCUGAGAGGAAGGUCCCCCANACUGGAACUGAGACACGGUCCAGACUCCUACGGGAGGCAGCAGUGAGGAAUAUUGGUCAAUGGGCGCAAGCCUGAACCAGCCAAGUAGCGUGAAGGAAGACUGCCCUAUGGGUUGUAAACUUCUUUAUACGGGAACAAACGAUAGUACGCGUACUAUUUGUCGUGUACCGUAUGAAUAGCAUCGGCUAACUCCGUGCCAGCAGCCGC
Molecule: ribosomal RNA, 494 nt
Filed under: uncultured bacterium
Lineage: Bacteria
Description: bacterial SSU rRNA
Rfam family: Bacterial small subunit ribosomal RNA
Source: RNAcentral